RNAcentral lists this ribosomal RNA (253 nucleotides) under uncultured bacterium. Its description in RNAcentral is "partial 16S ribosomal RNA". It matches the Rfam family "Bacterial small subunit ribosomal RNA", at positions 524 to 776 of the family's 1533-position model. The record is from RNAcentral.
GACGAAGGUGGCAAGCGUUGCUCGGAAUCACUGGGCAUAAAGCGCGCGUAGGUGGCUUGAUAAGUCGAUGGUGAAAUCCCAUGGCUCAACCAUGGAACUGCCAGCGAUACUGUCAGACUAGAGUGCGGUAGGGGAGACUGGAAUUCCUGGUGUAGCGGUGAAAUGCGCAGAUAUCAGGAGGAACACCGAUGGCGAAGGCAGGUCUCUGGGCCAUAACUGACGCUGAGAAGCGAAAGCAUGGGGAGCGAACAGG